GACGAACGCUGGCGGCGUGCUUAACACAUGCAAGUCGAACGGAAAGGCCUCAGCUUGCUGGGGUACUCGAGUGGCGAACGGGUGAGUAACACGUGGGUGAUCUGCCUUGCACUCUGGGAUAAGCUUGGGAAACUGGGUCUAAUACCGGAUAUGAACUGCCUUUAGUGUGGUGGUUGGAAAGUUUUUUCGGUGCAAGAUGAGCUCGCGGCCUAUCAGCUUGUUGGUGGGGUAAUGGCCUACCAAGGCGUCGACGGGUAGCCGGCCUGAGAGGGUGUACGGCCACAUUGGGACUGAGAUACGGCCCAGACUCCUACGGGAGGCAGCAGUGGGGAAUAUUGCACAAUGGGCGGAAGCCUGAUGCAGCGACGCCGCGUGGGGGAUGACGGCCUUUGGGUUGUAAACUCCUUUCGACAGGGACGAAGCUUUUUGUGACGGUACCUGUAUAAGAAGCACCGGCUAACUACGUG
Molecule: ribosomal RNA, 467 nt
Filed under: uncultured bacterium
Lineage: Bacteria
Description: partial 16S ribosomal RNA
Rfam family: Bacterial small subunit ribosomal RNA
Source: RNAcentral